UACGGAGGGUGCAAACGUUGCUCGGAAUCAUUGGGCGUAAAGCGCACGUAGGCGGUCUGUUAAGUCGGAUGUGAAAGCCCCGGGCUCAACCCGGGAAGUGCAUACGAAACUGGCGGACUUGAAUAUGGAAGAGGGUCGCGGAAUUCCCGGUGUAGAGGUGAAAUUCGUAGAUAUCGGGAGGAACACCGGUGGCGAAGGCGGUUCUCUGGGCCUGUACUGACGCUGAGGAACGAAAGCGUGGGGAGCGAACAGG
Molecule: ribosomal RNA, 253 nt
Filed under: uncultured bacterium
Lineage: Bacteria
Description: partial 16S ribosomal RNA
Rfam family: Bacterial small subunit ribosomal RNA
Source: RNAcentral